GGGACAUUGCACAGUUAGGAAUGGGGCUAUGUAGAAUAAGUAGUUAUUUUCAGAAUGUAGAUAUAUAGUAUAUAGUGUAAAUAGGGAUGAAUAAUUACUGAAAAGGUGGUUUAGCAGAUAAAAUGGAUGAAUAGUCAGGAAAAGUAAUUAUCAUCUAUAGUAUAGGAAUUGGUAUCUCGGAGUAUGUAGAAUAAGUAGUUAUUUGCUGAUUUGUAGAUACUUAGUUUAUAGUGUAAACAAGGAUAGAUGACUAUUAGAAAGAUAGUUCAGUAGUUAAAAUGGAUGAAUAGUUAGGAAAAGUAGUUUUCAUUAGAGAUGUAGCAGUUGGUAUCUUGUGGUAGGAUAAGGAGGAUGAGAGAGAGGAAGAAACCGCCAUUACUGUGAUAGUGUGAGCCGGGAUAAGCUUGGUGCUACCUCUUUUCUUUUGUUGUUAUGUUCUUUGAAAUAAGAGUAUU
RNAcentral lists this long non-coding RNA (455 nucleotides) under Physcomitrium patens. RNAcentral describes it as "long non-coding RNA (PPAT_LNC012516)". The record is from RNAcentral. Lineage: Eukaryota; Viridiplantae; Streptophyta; Bryopsida; Funariales; Funariaceae.